GACGAACGCUGGCGGCGUGCUUAACACAUGCAAGUCGAACGGAAAGGCCCUGCUUUUGUGGGGUGCUCGAGUGGCGAACGGGUGAGUAACACGUGAGUAACCUGCCCUUGACUUUGGGAUAACUUCAGGAAACUGGGGCUAAUACCGGAUAGGAGCUCCUGCUGCAUGGUGGGGGUUGGAAAGUUUCGGCGGUUGGGGAUGGACUCGCGGCUUAUCAGCUUGUUGGUGGGGUAGUGGCUUACCAAGGCUUUGACGGGUAGCCGGCCUGAGAGGGUGACCGGCCACAUUGGGAAGGAGAGACGGGCCAGACCCCCACGGGGGGCAGGAGGGGGGGAUAUUUCACAAUGGGGGGAAGGCUGAGUGAGACAACCCCCGGGGGGGGAGACGGGCUUUGGGGUGUAAAACCCUUUCCCCUGGGAACGAGGGGGGGGGACGGGAAAGGGUAAAAAAAGCCCCGCUUAAUUAGUG
RNAcentral lists this ribosomal RNA (468 nucleotides) under uncultured bacterium. RNAcentral describes it as "partial 16S ribosomal RNA". It matches the Rfam family "Bacterial small subunit ribosomal RNA", at positions 28 to 507 of the family's 1533-position model. The record is from RNAcentral.